UAAAUUUUUCGUAAUAUCUUAUCUAAAUUUGAUUUUACAGCAGCUACAACACCAGAACAUUGAUAUAAAUGCUUUGGUAACAAAGUUGGAAAGACUGGAGAAUAAAUUCAUGUUCCAGAAGAUGAAAUUUGAUCCAUCCAAGAAAUUGAAUGUGAUGAAGAUAGACAUGGCAAAACUUGAAUGGUACAAGAAGCAUUGUAAAAGUCAAGGUAGUGGGUACUAUGACUGCUUCAAAAGGGGCGUCUCAACAAUUGACCAAGAUGCUGUUCAGUGGCAGAAAAACCUCAGAAACUACUGGAGUGACAUGGUUGAAGAGGCAGAGAUGAAACCUCAGACAGAAGCAGCUGCUUUUCGUACUCGCUGGCUUUUUUCUGGAACUAACUACAGGAGAAUGGUUGAGCCUCUAGACAUUGCUGAAUACUAUGCAAAUGGUCUUCGUAAGGACUAUGAGGCUAAAGGAAGGUCUAGACAUUAUGUAGUGUUGGAGAAGUGGCUGGAAGAAGAUAAGAAAGAAAAAAGUGAUUCAGAGGGCAAAACUAAAAAGAAUGUGGAAUUGAUUUUAACCAUUGAUUCUUGCUUUUGGGCAAAGCUUGAAGAGGCUCUCCUUUUGUGUGGAGAGUUGGAUAAUUUGAAAGAGAAUGUAGAGGCAAAAGGGAAGUUGCUUGAAUUUGAGAACUAUGUUUAUGAAUCACUCAAAAAGUAUGAAGUGUCACCAGAGAUUUUCUUGAAGGGAAGCAGUUACAUGACUUGGUGGAAUAAGUAUAAAGGGUUUGCAGAUAAUCAUAGACUAGCAAACUUCAUGAGAAAUCCUCAGCAUUUUGAUCAGUAUACUGAGGGAGAUUAUUCUUUCACCUGAAGUACAGUGAAUGCAAUGUGUGGUUGAUUGUACAAUAAAUUAUGAUUUGAUCGUUCUACAUUUCCUUUGUUGAUUUUGGUAGGAAUCUUAGUUUUACCAUCCCUUGUGAUGUCUUAUGGGAAACUCUUGCAAUUGUCUUUCCCUUGUAAGCUUUCACUCUCGUUGUUCUCGAAAAUUUAAGUGUAAUGGAAGCAUUGUAACGCCCUAACCUACUUUGGAGUUACAUUAUUACUAAUCACUUCACUAAUCACUAACGUAAAUAGAUAAUUGUUGUUUCAGAUUUUGCUUGGAUAUUGUGUUUCAAUACUACUUCUUUCAUUCUUUCUCCACUAUUCAGUUGUCAGACACGGCGGAAAAGAUACAACCACUUCUCUAGGCAUGUUGUCGGUACGCCGUGGACCGGAGCUGUUACAUUUUGCAGCUUUGCAAAGAGAAAAAGAAAAAACAGAGUUGCCUUCUAGGAAGAAUAAAGAAGAAGGAAAGAGAGAGUAAAAAAAGAAAACUACUUUCAAAAGGUUUUUUAUUUAAUAAUUUAAUAAUUUAAUUAUAUUAAUGAUUCAAUAUUUUAUUAAAUUCUGUUUUUUCUGAAGUUUAAAUUUUUUUAUUUGAACAUGAGAUUUAAUUCCAAUUUUUUUAAUUUAAUAAAUUUAAAUCUAUAUAUGAUUUAUAGGGCACUUUUAUAUUUUCAUUUAUUUUACACAAAAUUACAAAUUUUAUACUUUGGAUCUCUCUUUCUAAAACGAUAAAUUAAAGUUUUAUUAGUUGUUAAAAUAAUAAAAUAUCAUUUAAACUUUUACUUAAGAAAAGAAAAUAAAUUUUAAAUCAUUUUUUACAAUAAUCAUAUUAAAAUUACAAAUAUAACAUAAUAUCAAAUAAUUAAUAAUUUAAUAUUAUUUUUAAAGUAUAUAAUAUAUUAUACUAUAAUUAAUUUUAAUUCGCGACAUGUUUUGUUUUUUAUAUUUAAAUAAUUUAAUUUCUAUUACAUUAAUUUAUUUGACACGAUUUUAUUUUUAUGUUUAAUUAAUUUUUUAUGUUUAGAUUAUUUUUAUUAUAAAAGAUUAAGAUAAAUAUAUCUAAUUUAAAUAAAUUAAGAUUAAUUUUUUUAUAUUUAAUUUAUUUUAAAUGUUUCUUACUUUUUUCUUACAUUAUGAAAUAUAUUAGUACAUAUAUUGUUGUAUCCGUCUCCUAUAUUUUUUCAGUUUAGUAGUAUCUUUGUGUUUGGCAAAUCCGUGUAUAUGUAUAUCUUCAGAACAUAUAUAGAUUUCACAUGUGUUUAGUAGUAUCUAUGUGUUUGGCAGAUCAUUAUCUUUAAUUAAAUGAAUCUUAUGAAUCAAAAUUAGAUUUCACAUGUAAAGAAAUCCAAAAUUUCAUAGAAAGAUAAUAUUAGAAUAAGUCAAUUAAACAUAAACUAAAAUGUUUUAAUAGCAAUUGCGAAAACAUAAACCAUAACCAUCCAACAAAUUAAAAUACUUUAUAUAUAUAUAUAUAUAUAUAUAUAUAUAUAUAUAUAUAUAUAUNAUAUAUAUAUAUAUAUAUAUAUAUAUAUAACACUCAAACUUUCCUUCCACUUUCUAUGUCUUUACACCCAAAUUUUCCUUUCACUUUCUAUGUCUUUACGUAGUAAGUUUCGUCAAUUUAUGAGAAAAAAAAUGCAAAUGCCGAGAGUUGACUUGAUUUACCUCAUACUACUGACUUCAUCUUCAUAUCAUUGAUCUAUUAAAACCAUAAAAUUCUCAAGAAUUCACUGCAUUACAAGUUUCUUCCUUCCUUUUGCUAUUUUAUAACAAAACAAUUCUCCUAUUCUUUACACCUCUCAUACUUCCUUUCAAAUUUCUCACUCACACAACCACCAUGAGCCUUACUCAAUCGUAUGUCACACCUUAACUCUUCCUACACUCAAUUUGUUUAUUGGGUUUUGUUUUUGUGUUUCAAAAGUCAUAAACUUGGAACACUUGAAUUGAUCCUAUGUAACCAACAUGUUUGUUUGUUUGUUUCUUUGUGUCUGAUUAACUUUAUGUUGUGAACUUCUUGUGAUUGCAGAUUUAGCAGUGGAAUUGUGCAAGCACCCUUUGUCACAAGCUCUCGUCUUCUUCUAAAAACAUGGGGUGUUAUCUCGUCACGUGAUGAAGAUGUGGUUCACCACGUGGGGAAGGGAUUGGUCUGGAAAGUUUGUGAGGAGUCGGAUUUGACGGUUGUGGUGUUUGACGUCAAGAAUGAUUUUGAUCUUCAACAGAAUUUGGUUUCUUCUACCUAUCUCAAGGAGAACAAUAAUUUCCACCGCUUUGAGUUUCUAUGUACGAAGAAAAUUCUAGAGUUCUCUGUUAACUGGUCUGCUGUUUCGCUAUUCAUUGACAAUUUUGAGAAGCUUGAUCAGUUGAAGUCCAAGGUACAUCUCCUCCUUCCCCUUUCAUUAUUCUGUGGUUUCUAUUUGAAAAAUUUACUUUUUUUGAAAACCAAGUAAAUUUUGAAAGUUGAAGUCAAACACACUUCGUUUCUUUAAUUUCCUGGAAUUUAUUGUUCUUCCUAUGUGAGCCCUUGUAAAACUGUUAUAUUAAUGCAGAUUAAUAGCUCCCAUCGACUGAUUGUUACUGGACAUGGUGUUGGAGGAGCAAUAGCUUCUCUCUUUACUGUGUUGCUUUUAGAAAGCAUUGGCACAGGAAAGAAACGUCCUCUCUGCAUCACCUUUGGUUCUCCCCUUAUUGGUGACAAAAAGUUGCAGGAAGCCAUAUCACGAAGUUCUAUAUGGAAUUCUUGCUUUCUACAUGUUGUCUCUUACAAAGACUCACUUCCAAAGAAGUUGAGUUCCCAACCAGUUGAUUACAUGCCUUUUGGGACAUUUCUCUUUUGUUCUGAUACAGGUGCCACUUGUUUUGAGAACCCCGAGUCUGUUUUGGAACUUCUUGUGAGCUCAAUCAGUGGUCAAAGUCAAGGUUUUGAGGUCGCAGAUUAUGGAAAACUUGUUGAAAAUCUAUAUCGUAAAUCGAUUUGCAAGAACUUGAUCCCACGGGGGCUGAACUUGACACAUUCUACUUCACUGAAUUCAAGUAUCCGUUUUCAGUUGUCUGCAGCACUAGGAUUGUCAUCUGAUAUUCAGGUAGCUGAAUAUGUUUUAAGUUCUAAGCAUUUAAAGUAAGAACAAAACUUAUAAGUAAUACUAUAAGUGUCGUUUUCUCAUCGAUUCAAGAGUUUCAACUUGAUAAUAUGUGAUGACAUUUAAUGAAAUACUUCAUCACACAUGUUACCAACAUGAAAUUCCAAAUUUGAUUACAGAACAAUAUCUAUGAUUCUGCAUAUGUAUGCUCUCUAAAUCUGAUCAGUCUUGUGUGUAACUAGACUAGAAUUUAAUGAGUAUAUAUCUUCAUCAUAUCAUCUAAAUUUGAUUUUACAGCAGCUACAACACCAAAACAUUGAUAUAAACGCUUUGGCGACAAAGUUGGAAGCACUGGAGAAGAAAUUCAUGUCCCAGAAGAAGGUGAAAUUUGAUCCAUCCAAGAAAUUGAAUAUGAUGAAGAUAGACAUGGCAAAUUUUGAAUUGUACAAGAAGCUUUGUAAAAGUCAAGGUAUUGGGUACUAUGACUGCUUCAAAAAGGACACCUCAACAGAUGACCAAGAUGUUAUUCCGUCGCAGAAAAGGCUCAGAAACUACUGGAGUGACAUGGUUGAAGAGGCAGAGAUGAAACCUCAGACAGAAGCUGCAGCCUUUCGUACUCGCUGGCUUUUUGCUGGAACUAACUACAGGAGAAUGGUUGAGCCCUUAUACAUUGCUGAAUACUAUGCAAAAGAUCUUCGUAAAGACUAUGAGGCUAAAGGAAGGUCAAGACAUUAUAUAGUGUUGGAGAAGUGGCUGGAAGAAGAUAAGAAAGAAAAGGGUGAUUCAAAUGGCAAAACAAGAAGGAAUGUGGAAUCGAUUUUAACCUUUGAUUCUUGCUUUUGGGCAAAGCUUGAAGAGGCUCUCCUUCUGUGUGGACAGCUGGAAAAUUCGACAGGGAAUGAAGAGGGAAAAGGGAAGUUGGUUGAAUUUGAAAAUUACGUUUAUGAAUCACUCAAAAAGUAUGAAGUUUCACCAGAGAUUUUCUUGAAGGGAAGCAGUUACAUGAGUUGGUGGAACAAGUAUAAAGAGUCUGCAGAUAAUCAUAGACUAGCAAGCUUCAUGAGCAGUCCUCAGCAUUUUGAUCAGUAUACUGAGGGAGCCUAUUUUUUCCCCUGAAGUGCAGUGAAUGCAAGUGUGGUUGGACAAUAAAUUAUGUUUUAAUCAUUCCACAUUUCCUUUGUUGAUUUGGUAGGGAUCCUGGUUUUGCCAUCCCUUGUGCUGUGUUUGUUCUAUUGGAAACUCUUGCAAUUGUGUUUCCCUUGUAAACUUCCACUGUCAUUGUUCUUGAAAAUUUGAGUGUAAUGGAAGCAUGAGGCUACUAAAUGGUUAGUGAUGAUGUAAUCUGAAAGGCUAGGUGUGAAAGAUGGACUUUUCAGCAGAUGAGAUCAUUAGGUUAAUUUUGAGGCUUGUCAUUGUUAUCAUUAUCCUAGAUAUAAACUUUACAGCAAGAGUUUAAUACAAUUUAUGGUAAUGGAUGGGUAAAACUGUUUAUGACAGCAACAAAUUUAUUACACAUGACAGAUAAUUUGUGUUUGAAUAAUUACAUAAAAGGAUUGUUUAUGAUUGGAUCAUAAUAUAAAAAAAAUGUCCUUAGACAGCAUUUUGAUUAAAUUCCAAUUUAAAAGUGGCAUUUCUAAUAUUUAAGACAGCAUUGUAAAAUUAGUUUAACAAUUCAUAACCACUUUUGUCAUCCUCCUCUUUGGUGUAAGAAAAGUAUUAAUUAAAAUUAGUUACAUUUCCUUGUAGAGGUGUAGAUAUAACACAC
Molecule: long non-coding RNA, 5712 nt
Filed under: Vigna radiata
Lineage: Eukaryota; Viridiplantae; Streptophyta; Magnoliopsida; Fabales; Fabaceae
Description: long non-coding RNA (VRAD_LNC000042)
Source: RNAcentral